This is a long non-coding RNA of Myzus persicae (green peach aphid), 1081 nucleotides long. RefSeq lists it as uncharacterized. The transcript is spliced from 2 exons. Lineage: Eukaryota; Metazoa; Arthropoda; Insecta; Hemiptera; Aphididae. The record is from RefSeq and is a predicted model, not a curated record.
UAUUGAAUACUUGAAACAUUCGUCAUCGUUAUUUUUUAUACAUGACUAGGUAAAUCUAAAUAUGUACUUCCUCUUUUAAGAGGAUUAACUUUAUUGAUUCGUAAUUGUGUACACUGUACAAUCUAUAGAUUUAAGUGACCAGUCUGAUUUUUUGGUUUAAACUGUGCUUCCUCAGAUAAUAGUUUGUCAAACAUUUUGUUUAAUAAACUAUUAAAAUCGGAUGAUGUACACGCUAAUACGUUUGAAGUUAUAACCGACAUAUCUUGUACUUCACUCAUUAAAAGUUGUUCAUACGUGCUAUCAACAUGUAAAUUAAAUUAAAUUGUUGACUGCUGGCUUGAUUGUGCUAACCUAGAAAUUAACACUUCAGAAACAUAACUAAAAAAUUCAGGUGGUAGUCUAUUAAUUUUUCCUUGUUCUUAACAAUUAUAAACGUUCUCGAACAGUUUUUAAAUCGUUCAAUUUCAACAAGUUCGCUCUCGGCUGAUUCCAUUCGUCUACGUUUGGUGAUUGUAUUUCUUUUCAUUAUGUAACUAACAUAACAGAAAAUGUAAUCAAAGUACAUUAUCCAACGACAAAUCACAGCCACCGAACGUGAUCGGAUUAGGAUCAUACGAACGCGUUGUAAGGUCAUGGAUAGUGGUAUGCGAAGUGGGCAGCAACGAGGGUGUGAUUCACCCACAGCACUGGAACUUUUGCCGUCUACGCACAUACACCUAACGUGCGCGUACCGUACAAUCACUUCUGUGGUACAUAAUUCUUACCCGACGGCUGAAACGUACAAGUUAUACACAACAAUUAUUAUACGCCGUUGUGGUACGUGUCGAGCUCGAAUUUUUACGAAUAUACUUUCUGUUAUAUUAAAUAUUUAAAUCACAUUAUAUUAUUUAAAACAUUAUAAUAAUAUAUCUAUAGUCUAUACCUAUUACUGUUAAUGAUAGAUUAAUAAUAUUAUAUUAAUAGCUAAGUCUUAGAAUAGUUUUAGUCUAUAUUCAAAGAUUAUUCUAAUUGUCUAAACAGCGAAUUUAAAGAAUUGUGAAUUUGCAUUUAUAAAAUGAAUAUUGUGAUUGUACGUAGUUAA